GAUGAAGAACGCAGCGAAAUGCGAUACGUAAUGUGAAUUGCAAAUUCAGUGAAUCAUCGAGUCUUUGAACGCACAUUGCGCCCCCUGGUAUUCCGGGGGGCAUGCCUGUCCGAGCGUCAUUGCUGCCCUCAAGCACGGCUUGUGUGUUGGGCCCCGUCCUCCGAUCCCGGGGGACGGGCCCGAAAGGCAGCGGCGGCACCGCGUCCGGUCCUCGAGCGUAUGGGGCUUUGUCACCCGCUCUGUAGGCCCGGCCGGCGCUUGCCGAUCAACCCAAAUUUUUUCCAGGUUGACCUCGGAUCAGGUAGGGAUACCCGCUGAACUUAAGCAUAUCAAUAAGCGGAGGA
Molecule: unclassified non-coding RNA, 344 nt
Filed under: soil metagenome
Description: partial contains 5.8S ribosomal RNA, internal transcribed spacer 2, and large subunit ribosomal RNA
Rfam family: 5.8S ribosomal RNA (bases 1-119)
Source: RNAcentral